AUAACCGGGGGUAGGGUUG
RNAcentral lists this ribosomal RNA (19 nucleotides) under Penicillium ochotense. RNAcentral's name for it is "partial 28S ribosomal RNA". The record is from RNAcentral. Lineage: Eukaryota; Fungi; Ascomycota; Eurotiomycetes; Eurotiales; Aspergillaceae.